GUUUCAAUUCCUCAUAGGCAGGCUAUCGGC
RNAcentral lists this non-coding RNA (30 nucleotides) under Acididesulfobacillus acetoxydans. The record is from RNAcentral. Lineage: Bacteria; Bacillati; Bacillota; Clostridia; Eubacteriales; Peptococcaceae.